RNAcentral lists this ribosomal RNA (497 nucleotides) under uncultured bacterium. Its description in RNAcentral is "partial 16S ribosomal RNA". It matches the Rfam family "Bacterial small subunit ribosomal RNA", at positions 28 to 507 of the family's 1533-position model. The record is from RNAcentral.
GAUGAACGCUGGCGGCGUGCCUAAUACAUGCAAGUCGAGCGAACAGACGAGGAGCUUGCUCCUCUGACGUUAGCGGCGGACGGGUGAGUAACACGUGGAUAACCUACCUAUAAGACUGGGAUAACUUCGGGAAACCGGAGCUAAUACCGGAUAAUAUAUUGAACCGCAUGGUUCAAUAGUGAAAGACGGUUUUGCUGUCACUUAUAGAUGGAUCCGCGCCGCAUUAGCUAGUUGGUAAGGUAACGGCUUACCAAGGCGACGAUGCGUAGCCGACCUGAGAGGGUGAUCGGCCACACUGGAACUGAGACACGGUCCAGACUCCUACGGGAGGCAGCAGUAGGGAAUCUUCCGCCAUGGGCGAAAGCCUGACGGAGCAACGCCGCGUGAGUGAUGAAGGUCUUCGGAUCGUAAAACUCUGUUAUUAGGGAAGAACAAAUGUGUAAGUAACUAUGCACGUCUUGACGGUACCUAAUCAGAAAGCCACGGCUAACUACGUG